ACAGACAGGAACCCUAACCACUCCUCUAUUGGGGGUGUCUUUAUAAUCGCCUAUAAUUUCCACCUGUUGUUUAUUCCAUUUGCACAAC
Long non-coding RNA from Melanotaenia boesemani (Boeseman's rainbowfish), 88 nucleotides. RefSeq lists it as uncharacterized. The transcript is spliced from 3 exons. NCBI's taxonomy places the organism in Eukaryota, Metazoa, Chordata, Actinopteri, Atheriniformes, Melanotaeniidae. The record is from RefSeq and is a predicted model, not a curated record.